Molecule: ribosomal RNA, 508 nt
Filed under: uncultured glomeraceous AM fungus
Lineage: Eukaryota; Fungi; Glomeromycota; Glomeromycetes; Glomerales; Glomeraceae
Description: SSU rRNA
Rfam family: Eukaryotic small subunit ribosomal RNA
Source: RNAcentral
AGCAGCCGCGGUAAUACCAGCUCCAAUAGCGUAUAUUAAAGUUGUUGCAGUUAAAAAGCUCGUAGUUGAAUUUCGGGGUUAGUAGAUUGGUCAUGCCUCUGGUAUGUACUGGUCUCACUGAUUCCUCCUUCCUGAUGAACCUUAAUGCCAUUAAUUUGGUGUUUUGGGGAAUUUGGACUGUUACUUUGAAAAAAUUAGAGUGUUUAAAGCAAGCUAACGCUUGAAUACAUUAGCAUGGAAUAAUGAAAUAGGACGUUCGAUCCUAUUUUGUUGGUUUCUAGGAUUGACGUAAUGAUUAAUAGGGAUAGUUGGGGGCAUUAGUAUUCAAUUGUCAGAGGUGAAAUUCUUGGAUUUAUUGAAGACUAACUACUGCGAAAGCAUUUGCCAAGGAUGUUUUCAUUAAUCAAGAACGAAAGUUAGGGGAUCGAAGACGAUCAGAUACCGUCGUAGUCUUAACCAUAAACUAUGCCGACUAGGGAUCGGAUGAUGUUAAUUUUUUAAUGACUCA